UGGGGAAUAUUGGACAAUGGGCGAAAGCCUGAUCCAGCCAUGCCGCGUGUGUGAAGAAGGUCUUCGGUUGUAAAGCACUUUAAAGUUGGGAGGAAGGGCAGUAAGCUAAUACCUUGCUGUUUUUGGACGUUACCGACAGAAUAAGCACCGGCUAACUUCGUGCCAGCAGCCGCGGUAAUACGAAGGGUGCAAGCGUUAAUCGGAAUUACUGGGCGUAAAGCGCGCGUAGGUGGUUCGUUAAGUUGGAUGUGAAAGCCCCGGGCUCAACCUGGGAACUGCAUCCAAAACUGGCGAGCUAGAGUAUGGUAGAGGGUGGUGGAAUUUCCUGUGUAGCGGUGAAAUGCGUAGAUAUAGGAAGGAACACCAGUGGCGAAGGCGACCACCUGGACUGAUACUGACACUGAGGUGCGAAAAGCGUGGGGGAGCAAACGGGAUUUAGAUACCCCUGGUAGUCCACGCCGUAAAACGAUGNCAACUAGCCGUUGGGUUCCUUGAGAACUUAGUGGCGCAGCUAACGCAUUAAGUUGACCGCCUGGGGAGUACGGCCGCAAGGUUAAAACUCAAAUGAAUUGACGGGGUCAUAGCUGUUUCCUG
RNAcentral lists this ribosomal RNA (594 nucleotides) under uncultured bacterium. Its description in RNAcentral is "partial 16S ribosomal RNA". It matches the Rfam family "Bacterial small subunit ribosomal RNA", at positions 355 to 1376 of the family's 1533-position model. The record is from RNAcentral.